ACUGAUGAAAAUCUGCUGACUCAGAUCAAGGAUGGAUUCGCCGAGGGGAAAGAUUUGGUUGUGACUGUGAUGUCUUCCAUGGGAGAGGAGCAGAUUUGUGCUCUGAAGGACAUUGGCCCGAAGUAAAUGUCCCUCCCACUGUGUGGGGUUUGUCCAUUGUUGACUGCUGAUAAUUGUAGUUUAGCAGUGCGAUUAAUGUGGGUUUGAGAACAUGGGCUGUUUCAGGAAA
RNAcentral lists this unclassified non-coding RNA (229 nucleotides) under Hevea brasiliensis (rubber tree). Lineage: Eukaryota; Viridiplantae; Streptophyta; Magnoliopsida; Malpighiales; Euphorbiaceae. The record is from RNAcentral.